CAGUAACCACGGUAAUACGUAGGUGGCAAGCGUUGUCCGGAAUUAUUGGGCGUAAAGGGCUCGCAGGCGGUUUCUUAAGUCUGAUGUGAAAGCCCCCGGCUCAACCGGGGAGGGUCAUUGGAAACUGGGAAACUUGAGUGCAGAAGAGGAGAGUGGAAUUCCACGUGUAGCGGUGAAAUGCGUAGAGAUGUGGAGGAACACCAGUGGCGAAGGCGACUCUCUGGUCUGUAACUGACGCUGAGGAGCGAAAGCGUGGGGAGCGAACAGGAUUAGAUACCCGUGUAGUCCCUGUCUCUUAUAC
RNAcentral lists this ribosomal RNA (301 nucleotides) under uncultured bacterium. RNAcentral describes it as "partial 16S ribosomal RNA". It matches the Rfam family "Bacterial small subunit ribosomal RNA", at positions 509 to 807 of the family's 1533-position model. The record is from RNAcentral.